UACGAAGGGGGCUAGCGUUGCUCGGAAUCACUGGGCGUAAAGCGCACGUAGGCGGAUUGUUAAGUCAGAGGUGAAAUCCUGGAGCUCAACUCCAGAACUGCCUUUGAUACUGAGGAUCUUGAGUUCGGGAGAGGUGAGUGGAACUGCGAGUGUAGAGGUGAAAUUCGUAGAUAUUCGCAAGAACACCAGUGGCGAAGGCGGCUCACUGGCCCGAUACUGACGCUGAGGCACGAAAGCGUGGGGAGCAAACAGG
RNAcentral lists this ribosomal RNA (253 nucleotides) under uncultured bacterium. Its description in RNAcentral is "partial 16S ribosomal RNA". It matches the Rfam family "Bacterial small subunit ribosomal RNA", at positions 524 to 776 of the family's 1533-position model. The record is from RNAcentral.